This 433-nucleotide ribosomal RNA is filed under the name Arthrobacter sp. R-41997. Its description in RNAcentral is "bacterial SSU rRNA". It matches the Rfam family "Bacterial small subunit ribosomal RNA", at positions 28 to 462 of the family's 1533-position model. Lineage: Bacteria; Bacillati; Actinomycetota; Actinomycetes; Micrococcales; Micrococcaceae. RNAcentral also lists the same sequence under 2 other names. The record is from RNAcentral.
GAUGAACGCUGGCGGCGUGCUUAACACAUGCAAGUCGAACGAUGAACCCCGCUUGCGGGGGGAUUAGUGGCGAACGGGUGAGUAACACGUGAGUAACCUGCCCUUAACUCUGGGAUAAGCCUUGGAAACGGGGUCUAAUACUGGAUAUUGACUUUUCCUCGCAUGGGGAUUGGUUGAAAGAUUUAUUGGUUUUGGAUGGACUCGCGGCCUAUCAGCUUGUUGGUGAGGUAAUGGCUCACCAAGGCGACGACGGGUAGCCGGCCUGAGAGGGUGACCGGCCACACUGGGACUGAGACACGGCCCAGACUCCUACGGGAGGCAGCAGUGGGGAAUAUUGCACAAUGGGCGAAAGCCUGAUGCAGCGACGCCGCGUGAGGGAUGACGGCCUUCGGGUUGUAAACCUCUUUCAGUAGGGAACAAGGCCAGUGUUUAG